RNAcentral lists this ribosomal RNA (253 nucleotides) under uncultured bacterium. RNAcentral describes it as "partial 16S ribosomal RNA". It matches the Rfam family "Bacterial small subunit ribosomal RNA", at positions 524 to 776 of the family's 1533-position model. The record is from RNAcentral.
UACGGGGGGGGCAAGCGUUGUUCGGAAUUACUGGGCGUAAAGGGCGCGUAGGCGGUUCGCUAAGUUGGAUGUGAAAACUCUGGGCUCAACCCAGAGCCUGCAUCCAAAACUGGCGGGCUAGAGUUCUGGAGGGGGUAGCGGAAUUCCUGGUGUAGCGGUGAAAUGCGUAGAUAUCGGGAGGAACACCGGUGGCGAAGGCGGUUCUCUGGGCCUUACCUGACGCUGAGGAGCGAAAGCGUGGGGAGCGAACAGG